GCCCUUGUAGCUCAAUGGACAGAGCAGCGCUCUUCUAAGGCGUUGAUCCGGGUUCGACUCCUGGCAAGGGCA
RNAcentral lists this transfer RNA (72 nucleotides) under Candidatus Adlerbacteria bacterium RIFCSPLOWO2_01_FULL_51_16. RNAcentral describes it as "tRNA-Arg". It matches the Rfam family "tRNA". Rfam says of the family: Transfer RNA (tRNA) molecules are approximately 80 nucleotides in length. Their secondary structure includes four short double-helical elements and three loops (D, anti-codon, and T loops). Lineage: Bacteria; Candidatus Adleribacteriota. The record is from RNAcentral. RNAcentral also lists the same sequence under 1 other name.